Molecule: ribosomal RNA, 347 nt
Filed under: Liparocephalus cordicollis
Lineage: Eukaryota; Metazoa; Arthropoda; Insecta; Coleoptera; Staphylinidae
Description: partial 12S ribosomal RNA
Source: RNAcentral
UGUAAAAUUAUUAUUAUUAAAUUAUUAUGAGUUAUGGUCUUUAAAGUUAAAAAAUUUGGCGGUAUUUUAGUCUUUUCAGAGGAACCUGUCCUGUAAUUGAUAGUCCACGAUUAGAAUUACUUAUUUUAAAAAUUUGUAUAUCAUUGUAGUUGAAUAUUUUAUUAGAAUAGAAAAUAUUCAUAAAUUUUAAUAAAAAUUUAAAUCAGAUCAAGGUGCAGUUUAUAAUUAAGAAGAGAUGGGUUACAAAAAAGAUAUUUAUGGAUUUUUAAUUUAAAUAUUAUAAAUGAAAUUGGAUUUGAAAGUAAUUUGGUUAAUUUUAAUUAAAUGAUUUAAGCUCUAAAAUAUGC